AGUGGAGGCAUGAGAAGCUAAAGCCACCCCCUGUCCCUACAAGCUCCUCAUUCCCUCUCCCCACAGCACUCCCUGCCAUUGAUGGUCUGGAUUCCACCACUUGUGUCCAUGGAGCAUCCUUCUCCGAUAGUGAAGAUGAAUCCUGUGUGCCACUGCUGCGGAAAGAGUCCAUCCAGCUAAGGGACCUGGACUCUGCGCUCUUGGCUGAGGUCAAGGAUGUGCUGAUUCCCCAUGAGCGGGUGGUCACCCACAGUGACCGAGUCAUUGGCAAAGGCCACUUUGGAGUUGUCUACCACGGAGAAUACAUAGACCAGGCCCAGAAUCGAAUCCAAUGUGCCAUC
This 341-nucleotide long non-coding RNA is filed under the name Homo sapiens (human). Its description in RNAcentral is "non-protein coding lnc-MON1A-2:2". The record is from RNAcentral. Lineage: Eukaryota; Metazoa; Chordata; Mammalia; Primates; Hominidae.